This is a long non-coding RNA of Spinacia oleracea (spinach), 1678 nucleotides long. RefSeq lists it as uncharacterized. The transcript is spliced from 3 exons. Lineage: Eukaryota; Viridiplantae; Streptophyta; Magnoliopsida; Caryophyllales; Amaranthaceae. The record is from RefSeq and is a predicted model, not a curated record.
UAGAUGUGGGUCAUAUAGGAACAGUGAUAGAGAAAUAACAGUAAUCGCCCAAUCGGGAAUUUUGUCCUGACGGAAGUGGGGCCUACCUCAUUUUUCCCAACAAUUUGGCCCCAAUGUGAUAAUUAGUUAAUUACCAGUACUAUAGUAAAAUAAGUAAUUAAGGGGGGUGGCCGGGGACUGGGCCCCAAUAUAUUUGGAAAAAACGUAUAUGAUUGCUUGUGGCUGUAAGUUGUCAGUCAUGUAUAACAGAUGUGUGUUUAAAUUAUUGCAUUGAAAUUUUUGCCGUUAUCAUAUAGAUGUUCCUGCAACUAGUGUACCCUAUAAGAUAAAUCCUGCUAUUCAGCUGUAUUGAGAAAUUAUAUAGUAGCGUAGCUUAUAUAUUGUAAUCUUGUUGUAGUUAAUUAUCAUUCAAAUGCCAACUUGGUAUUAUGUUUUCUGAGGCUGUCAGGGUUGGUUUUAAACUUAUUAGUACUUUGAUUAUUCUCUCCUUACGCUUUGUCUGGUGUGUGUUAAAAAGCUAGCAAUACAUGGAGAUCAUGACAAUGUUUAGUGGCAAUAUAACAACACAUUACGAGUUCUGUGCUAGUCAUUUUAUGGUGGAUUAGAAAAUCCAAGUUGAUUGCUGUACUUAGAGUUAAUCAUUUUAAGAAUCUUCACUCAAUCUCAACAAGAACAUUUCAAGUCAGAGUGUACUGGAUAUAUUGAUGUGGUGAAACAAAAUUUGUAACUACUUCUGGUUUGGUCCUGUUUGUCUGUGUUUUGGUCUUUAGUUGCUAGCAUUUCUAACUUAGAAAACUUAACUCUGGAUUGUGUCAUGGUGAAACUGUUCUGGGAACCGGUCACCAUAUAAGUGCUGGUGCUGUAUCAUGCAUGUUUAUGCUCUUAUUAAUAGGCUAGAGCCUAAGUCUAAUGUAUCACACAUUCGCUUACUUUAUCAUGGGAAAAACUUCUUAAUGUUUAAAGACUUUGGGUUUGGAUAAUGCAAAUUUUGUUAUUUACAGUCUUUCCAAUUUUGAUUACAUUCUUAAAGUCCCGCAACUAGGAAUUAGAGCUCCUAGCCUCCAACAUUUUACAGUAUAUAAUGUUCUCAACACCAAACCACGAAAUAGUGUGGCCUUGCUGAUGUAGGAUUUUGAAUGGGCAAGAUAUGUUUUUUCCACUAGUGUUUCGUGAAUUGUUGGAUGUUAGACCUUAAAAACACUUGAACAAAUGUUGGUUUGAUAUUGUGAACUUGUAUUAGAACUUGUUUGUGAUUGACAUGGUUAUAUUUUGAUAUUGUGACAGUUGCUCUGAUGUUCCUAAGUUGAUCCUUUUUGGCUGAAUUUAAACAUGCAAUAUUAAACAUGAAUCUUAUGGUGUUCUUCUUUUUGGUAUUGCUGCAUAGAAAACGUCAUUUGAACAACAGAUGAUAAUUGCUAGAAAUAUCCAGAAAGGUCCAGCCAACCAAGUGAUAAGAUUGUGAGUUAUACAUUCCCCCGUUUAUAUAUCUCGGCAUAUAUGGAAAUUCAGCACACGGUAAUAACAGGGAUUUCAUCUCCUUAUACAAAUUCAGUUAAGAUGGGUUUUUUCCGGAUAAGGAGUUAAAUCAAAGAGAGCAAGAAGACUCUUUAGAUGAAGGUCUCCUUUCAGAAGUCAAUGCACAACUACGGCAAGCGAAAGAAGAUGUGGACAAUCCAGG